GUCAAGAUCCUUCUCUCAUCUAAUUUUUCUCUCAUCCUUGUCAUUAGCUUUGACUAUACUAUCUCCACCACUUCUCAUAAGCUUUCUCUCACAUCUUUCUUACUCUUCUCCAUAUAUCUUCUCUAUCUCCAUUUCUCUUCAUCAGUAAAGAUCUAAACUCACUACGUGAAAUUUUAUUUAUCUUUUCAGUUCAAUGAGAUGAAGAUGUCUCAAUAUAAUAGUCGAAGGCUAUCACCAAAUGGCAUUCCUCUAUGUAGAUGUGACGAAGAAGCGAAAAUUAUGACUUCAUGGACAAAUUCAAAUCCCGGAAGGAGGUUCUAUAGAUGCAAGAACUAUGGGAUAAGUAAUUAUUGUGAUUUCUUCGAUUGGAUGGAUCUAAAGUUUCCAAAACAAGCUGAUGUUGUGAUUUUGGGCCUCUUGAACCGAAUUAAAAGAAUGGAGCUUAAUAAAGAAGCAUAAAGAAAGAAGAUGGAGAGAGGCUGUUGUAGGUGGAAAUGAAUUCUGACUUGUGUGCUCUAUUUGUUUUGGAUAAGUGUGUGUGUUGUGGGAAUGAUAAAUCUGAUAGUUUGGUUAUGGGAUGAGAUUAGGAUUGUGUUUUCUUUUUUUGUUUGAUUUUACUUGCAAUUAGUGUUCUUGAACUUUUGAACGUGUAUUAGUACCAUUCUUAAACUUAGGAAUAUAUAUCAAUAUCUUCUCUAAACUUAUGUUUUAUUGUAAUGCAUUUUGGUCAUUAUGAAUGAAUUGUAAAACUUUUAGCAAUCAAUGGAAAUCAAUAUCUUAAAUAUGGCCAUGCCAUUUUGUAUUUUCAUUCCAUGCAAAACGACCCCGCAGCAGAGUCCACACGACAAUAACAAGGGCUUCAACUCCGGCAGCGAGUGCUGGUAAAGCUUUCGCACAAAACCGAAGUCUCAAAAUUUUGUUUGGCUGCUGUGAAAGUGAGGGAAAGCGAGUGAAAAUGAGCGGAACCAUAAAGAAGGUGACAGAUGUGGCAUUUAAAGCAUCAAAGACUAUUGAUUGGGAAGGGAUGGCGAAGCUUAUCGUCUCCGACGAGGCUCGUAAGGAGUUCGCCUCCCUUCGUCGCGCUUUCGAUGAGGUUAAUUCCACUCUUCAGACCAAAUUCAGCCAGGAACCUGAACCUAUUGACUGGGAAUAUUAUAGGAAAACAGUUGGCACACGCUUAGUGGAUAUGUAUAAAGAGGCUUAUGACAGCAUAGAGGUCCCAAAGUAUGUGGACACAGUUACUCCACAGUACAAGCCUAAAUUUGACGCAUUGUUGGUAGAAUUGAAAGAAGCAGAGGAGAAAUCCCUGAAGGAGUCGGAACGUUUGGAGAAAGAAAUUGCCGAAGUUCAAGAGUUGAAGAAAAAGCUCAGCACCAUGACUGCUGAAGAGUACUUUGAAAAGCAUCCUGAGCUCAAGAAGAAGUUCGAUGAUGAAAUCCGGAAUGACUACUGGGGCUAUUGACCAUAUUGGCCAUUUAUGGCACCAAAUCAAUCCUAUGCCCAAAAUUAUGAACUCAACAUUUUCCUGUUCUUUUCACAAUAAUAAUUAUCAACAAAUUGUUUGUUUGUAAUUUGGUUGCUGGCAGUUUGUGGAAUUUGAGCCUCGAUGAUGUCCAUAUCAAAUGUGGGAUUUUUCCAUCUCACAAGGAGAGUUAAAUUUGGAAGAUGAUGAUUUGUUCAAUCAGCAUGAAUAAUCAAAUCUUUUAGCUGCUCUCUGUCCUUUGGACCUGCCAUGUUUUGUGCUGGAGAUUAUUCAAAUGCGAG
RNAcentral lists this unclassified non-coding RNA (1764 nucleotides) under Hevea brasiliensis (rubber tree). Lineage: Eukaryota; Viridiplantae; Streptophyta; Magnoliopsida; Malpighiales; Euphorbiaceae. The record is from RNAcentral.